GACGAACGCUGGCGGCGUGCCUAAUACAUGCAAGUCGAACGGUUUAGCUCCAAGAGUCCACUCUCUUGGAACUAAGCAGUGGCGGGCGGGUGAGUAACACCUAGGCCACCUACCUGUCAAACCGGGAUAACCUCGGGAAUCCGAUGCUAAACCCGAAUAAGCUCCUUUUUCGCAUGUAGGGCGUGUGAAAUGGUGCGACUUGAUGACAGAUUGGCCUGCGGUGCAUUAGCUGGUGGGGAGGGUCACGGCCUACCGAGGCUAUGAUGCGGAGGCGAGCUGAGAGGGAGUACGGCUGGAAUGGGACUGAGGUACAGCCCACUCACGUACGGGAGGGAGGAGUAGGGUAUCCUAGGGGAGGGAGGAUAGCCUGACCGAGCCACGCCGGGUGAGUAAGGAAGGCGUUCGGGAUGUAAAUCUCUGUGGUAUGAAAAGAAGGGAAAGGGUAGGACCCUUAGGUGACGGUACCCAACGAGAAAGCCCCGGCUAACUACGUG
RNAcentral lists this ribosomal RNA (494 nucleotides) under uncultured bacterium. RNAcentral's name for it is "partial 16S ribosomal RNA". It matches the Rfam family "Bacterial small subunit ribosomal RNA", at positions 28 to 507 of the family's 1533-position model. The record is from RNAcentral.